UGGGGAAUAUUGGACAAUGGGCGCAAGCCUGAUCCAGCGAUGCCGCGUGAGUGAUGAAGGCCGUAGGGUUGUAAAGCUCUUUCACCGGUGAAGAUAAUGACUGUAACCGGAGAAGAAGCCCCGGCUAACUUCGUGCCAGCAGCCGCGGUAAUACGAAGGGGGCUAGCGUUGUUUGGAUUUACUGGGCGUAAAGCGCACGUAGGCGGACUUUUAAGUCAGGGGUGAAAUCCCGGGGCUCAACCCCGGAACUGCCUUUGAUACUGGAAGUCUUGAGUAUGGUAGAGGUGAGUGGAAUUCCGAGUGUAGGGGUGAAAUUCGUAGAUAUUCGGAGGAACACCAGUGGCGAAGGCGGCUCACUGGACCAUUACUGACGCUGAGGUGCGAAAGCGUGGGGAGCAAACAGG
This 404-nucleotide ribosomal RNA is filed under the name Actinomycetes bacterium. RNAcentral's name for it is "Actinobacteria bacterium partial 16S ribosomal RNA". It matches the Rfam family "Bacterial small subunit ribosomal RNA", at positions 355 to 776 of the family's 1533-position model. The record is from RNAcentral. Lineage: Bacteria; Bacillati; Actinomycetota; Actinomycetes.